UAUUGCGCAAUGGGCGAAAGCCUGACGCUGCGACGCCGCGUGAGGGAUGAAGGUCUUCGGAUCGUAAAACUCUGUCAGCAGGGAAGAACGGUCACUGUGCUAAUCAGCAGAGAAUUGACGGUAACUUCAAAGGAAGCACCGGCUAACUCCGUGCCAGCAGCGGCGGUAAUACGGAGGGGGCGAGAGUUAAUCGGAAUUACUGGGCGUAAAGCGCUCGUAGGCGGUAUGUCAAGUCAAGGGUGAAAUCCCCGCGCUCAACGUGGGAACUGCCUUUGAAACUGGCAAACUGGAGUGUGUGAGAGGAUAGUGGAAUUCCAGGUGUAGGAGUGAAAUCCGUAGAUAUCUGGAGGAACAUCAGUGGCGAAGGCGACUAUCUGGCACAUAACUGACGCUGAGGAGCGAAAGCGUGGGUAGCAAACAGG
This 422-nucleotide ribosomal RNA is filed under the name uncultured bacterium. Its description in RNAcentral is "bacterial SSU rRNA". It matches the Rfam family "Bacterial small subunit ribosomal RNA", at positions 362 to 776 of the family's 1533-position model. The record is from RNAcentral.